AGUGAACGCUGGCGGUAGGCCUAACACAUGCAAGUCGAACGGCAGCACAGUAAGAGCUUGCUCUUACGGGUGGCGAGUGGCGGACGGGUGAGGAAUACAUCGGAAUCUACUUUUUCGUGGGGGAUAACGUAGGGAAACUUACGCUAAUACCGCAUACGACCUACGGGUGAAAGCAGGGGAUCUUCGGACCUUGCGCGAUUGAAUGAGCCGAUGUCGGAUUAGCUAGUUGGCGGGGUAAAGGCCCACCAAGGCGACGAUCCGUAGCUGGUCUGAGAGGAUGAUAGGGCGCACUGGAAAUGAGACACGGCCCAGAGUCCUACUGAAGGCAGCAGUGGGGAAGGGUGGACAAUGGGUGCAAGCAUGAUCCCGCCAUACCGAGUGGGUGAAGAAGGCCUUCGGGUUGUAAAGUCCUUUUGUUGGGAAAGAAAAGCAGCAGGUUAAUACCCCGCUGUUCUGAAGGUACCCAAAGAAUAAGCACCGGCUAACUUCGUG
RNAcentral lists this ribosomal RNA (492 nucleotides) under uncultured bacterium. RNAcentral's name for it is "partial 16S ribosomal RNA". It matches the Rfam family "Bacterial small subunit ribosomal RNA", at positions 29 to 507 of the family's 1533-position model. The record is from RNAcentral.